Molecule: ribosomal RNA, 514 nt
Filed under: Bacillus anthracis (anthrax bacterium)
Lineage: Bacteria; Bacillati; Bacillota; Bacilli; Caryophanales; Bacillaceae
Description: partial 23S ribosomal RNA
Rfam family: Bacterial large subunit ribosomal RNA
Source: RNAcentral
GGUUAAGUUAGAAAGGGCGCACGGUGGAUGCCUUGACACUAGGAGUCGAUGAAGGACGGGACUAACGCCGAUAUGCUUCGGGGAGCUGUAAGUAAGCUUUGAUCCGAAGAUUUCCGAAUGGGGAAACCCACCAUACGUAAUGGUAUGGUAUCCUUAUCUGAAUACAUAGGGUAAGGAAGACAGACCCAGGGAACUGAAACAUCUAAGUACCUGGAGGAAGAGAAAGCAAAUGCGAUUUCCUGAGUAGCGGCGAGCGAAACGGAACAUAGCCCAAACCAAGAGGCUUGCCUCUUGGGGUUGUAGGACAUUCUAUACGGAGUUACAAAGGAACGAGGUAGACGAAGCGACCUGGAAAGGUCCGUCGUAGAGGGUAACAACCCCGUAGUCGAAACUUCGUUCUCUCUUGAAUGUAUCCUGAGUACGGCGGAACACGUGAAAUUCCGUCGGAAUCUGGGAGGACCAUCUCCCAAGGCUAAAUACUCCCUAGUGAUCGAUAGUGAACCAGUACCGUGAG